UACGUAGGGUGCGAGCGUUGCCCGGAAUUAUUGGGCGUAAAGGGCUCGUAGGCGGUUUGUCGCGUCGGGAGUGAAAACCAUGGGCUUAACUCAUGGCUUGCUUCCGAUACGGGCAGACUAGAGGUAUGCAGGGGAGAACGGAAUUCCUGGUGUAGCGGUGAAAUGCGCAGAUAUCAGGAGGAACACCGGUGGCGAAGGCGGUCUCUGGGCAUUACCUGACGCUGAGGAACGAAAGCCAGGGUAGCGAACGGG
Molecule: ribosomal RNA, 252 nt
Filed under: uncultured bacterium
Lineage: Bacteria
Description: partial 16S ribosomal RNA
Rfam family: Bacterial small subunit ribosomal RNA
Source: RNAcentral